This 309-nucleotide ribosomal RNA is filed under the name uncultured bacterium. RNAcentral's name for it is "partial 16S ribosomal RNA". It matches the Rfam family "Bacterial small subunit ribosomal RNA", at positions 504 to 809 of the family's 1533-position model. The record is from RNAcentral.
AGAGACAGCAGCAGCCGCGGUAAUACGAAGGGUGCAAGCGUUAAUCGGAAUUACUGGACGUAAAGCGUGCGUAGGCGGUUUGUUAAGUCUGUUGUGAAAUCCCCGGGCUCAACCUGGGAAUGGCAAUGGAUACUGGCAAGCUAGAGUGUGUCAGAGGAUGGUGGAAUUCCCGGUGUAGCGGUGAAAUGCGUAGAGAUCGGGAGGAACAUCAGUGGCGAAGGCGGCCAUCUGGGACAACACUGACGCUGAGGCACGAAAGCGUGGGGAGCAAACAGGAUUAGAUACCCCAGUAGUCCCUGUCUCUUAUAA